GGGUUGUGAGGUUAAGCGACUAAGCGUACACGGUGGAUGCCCUGGCAGUCAGAGGCGAUGAAGGACGUGCUAAUCUGCGAUAAGCGUCGGUAAGGUGAUAUGAACCGUUAUAACCGGCGAUUUCCGAAUGGGGAAACCCAGUGUGUUUCGACACACUAUCAUUAACUGAAUCCAUAGGUUAAUGAGGCGAACCGGGGGAACUGAAACAUCUAAGUACCCCGAGGAAAAGAAAUCAACCGAGAUUCCCCCAGUAGCGGCGAGCGAACGGGGAGCAGCCCAGAGCCUGAAUCAGUGUGUGUGUUAGUGGAAGCGUCUGGAAAGGCGCGCGAUACAGGGUGACAGCCCCGUACACAAAAAUGCACAUGCUGUGAGCUCGAUGAGUAGGGCGGGACACGUGGUAUCCUGUCUGAAUAUGGGGGGACCAUCCUCCAAGGCUAAAUACUCCUGACUGACCGAUAGUGAACCAGUACCGUGAGGGAAAGGCGAAAAGAACCCCGGCGAGGGGAGUGAAAAAGAACCUGAAACCGUGUACGUACAAGCAGUGGGAGCCUCUUUUAUGGGGUGACUGCGUACCUUUUGUAUAAUGGGUCAGCGACUUAUAUUCUGUAGCAAGGUUAACCGAAUAGGGGAGCCGAAGGGAAACCGAGUCUUAACUGGGCGUUAAGUUGCAGGGUAUAGACCCGAAACCCGGUGAUCUAGCCAUGGGCAGGUUGAAGGUUGGGUAACACUAACUGGAGGACCGAACCGACUAAUGUUGAAAAAUUAGCGGAUGACUUGUGGCUGGGGGUGAAAGGCCAAUCAAACCGGGAGAUAGCUGGUUCUCCCCGAAAGCUAUUUAGGUAGCGCCUCGUGAAUUCAUCUCCGGGGGUAGAGCACUGUUUCGGCAAGGGGGUCAUCCCGACUUACCAACCCGAUGCAAACUGCGAAUACCGGAGAAUGUUAUCACGGGAGACACACGGCGGGUGCUAACGUCCGUCGUGAAGAGGGAAACAACCCAGACCGCCAGCUAAGGUCCCAAAGUCAUGGUUAAGUGGGAAACGAUGUGGGAAGGCCCAGACAGCCAGGAUGUUGGCUUAGAAGCAGCCAUCAUUUAAAGAAAGCGUAAUAGCUCACUGGUCGAGUCGGCCUGCGCGGAAGAUGUAACGGGGCUAAACCAUGCACCGAAGCUGCGGCAGCGACGCUUAUGCGUUGUUGGGUAGGGGAGCGUUCUGUAAGCCUGUGAAGGUGUGCUGUGAGGCAUGCUGGAGGUAUCAGAAGUGCGAAUGCUGACAUAAGUAACGAUAAAGCGGGUGAAAAGCCCGCUCGCCGGAAGACCAAGGGUUCCUGUCCAACGUUAAUCGGGGCAGGGUGAGUCGACCCCUAAGGCGAGGCCGAAAGGCGUAGUCGAUGGGAAACAGGUUAAUAUUCCUGUACUUGGUGUUACUGCGAAGGGGGGACGGAGAAGGCUAUGUUGGCCGGGCGACGGUUGUCCCGGUUUAAGCGUGUAGGCUGGUUUUCCAGGCAAAUCCGGAAAAUCAAGGCUGAGGCGUGAUGACGAGGCACUACGGUGCUGAAGCAACAAAUGCCCUGCUUCCAGGAAAAGCCUCUAAGCAUCAGGUAACAUCAAAUCGUACCCCAAACCGACACAGGUGGUCAGGUAGAGAAUACCAAGGCGCUUGAGAGAACUCGGGUGAAGGAACUAGGCAAAAUGGUGCCGUAACUUCGGGAGAAGGCACGCUGAUAUGUAGGUGAAGCGACUUGCUCGUGGAGCUGAAAUCAGUCGAAGAUACCAGCUGGCUGCAACUGUUUAUUAAAAACACAGCACUGUGCAAACACGAAAGUGGACGUAUACGGUGUGACGCCUGCCCGGUGCCGGAAGGUUAAUUGAUGGGGUCAGCGCAAGCGAAGCUCUUGAUCGAAGCCCCGGUAAACGGCGGCCGUAACUAUAACGGUCCUAAGGUAGCGAAAUUCCUUGUCGGGUAAGUUCCGACCUGCACGAAUGGCGUAAUGAUGGCCAGGCUGUCUCCACCCGAGACUCAGUGAAAUUGAACUCGCUGUGAAGAUGCAGUGUACCCGCGGCAAGACGGAAAGACCCCGUGAACCUUUACUAUAGCUUGACACUGAACAUUGAGCCUUGAUGUGUAGGAUAGGUGGGAGGCUUUGAAGUGUGGACGCCAGUCUGCAUGGAGCCGACCUUGAAAUACCACCCUUUAAUGUUUGAUGUUCUAACGUUGACCCGUAAUCCGGGUUGCGGACAGUGUCUGGUGGGUAGUUUGACUGGGGCGGUCUCCUCCUAAAGAGUAACGGAGGAGCACGAAGGUUGGCUAAUCCUGGUCGGACAUCAGGAGGUUAGUGCAAUGGCAUAAGCCAGCUUGACUGCGAGCGUGACGGCGCGAGCAGGUGCGAAAGCAGGUCAUAGUGAUCCGGUGGUUCUGAAUGGAAGGGCCAUCGCUCAACGGAUAAAAGGUACUCCGGGGAUAACAGGCUGAUACCGCCCAAGAGUUCAUAUCGACGGCGGUGUUUGGCACCUCGAUGUCGGCUCAUCACAUCCUGGGGCUGAAGUAGGUCCCAAGGGUAUGGCUGUUCGCCAUUUAAAGUGGUACGCGAGCUGGGUUUAGAACGUCGUGAGACAGUUCGGUCCCUAUCUGCCGUGGGCGCUGGAGAACUGAGGGGGGCUGCUCCUAGUACGAGAGGACCGGAGUGGACGCAUCACUGGUGUUCGGGUUGUCAUGCCAAUGGCACUGCCCGGUAGCUAAAUGCGGAAGAGAUAAGUGCUGAAAGCAUCUAAGCACGAAACUUGCCCCGAGAUGAGUUCUCCCUGACNNUGAG
Molecule: ribosomal RNA, 2808 nt
Filed under: Escherichia coli
Lineage: Bacteria; Pseudomonadati; Pseudomonadota; Gammaproteobacteria; Enterobacterales; Enterobacteriaceae
Description: bacterial LSU rRNA
Rfam family: Bacterial large subunit ribosomal RNA
Source: RNAcentral